Molecule: ribosomal RNA, 318 nt
Filed under: uncultured bacterium
Lineage: Bacteria
Description: bacterial SSU rRNA
Rfam family: Bacterial small subunit ribosomal RNA
Source: RNAcentral
GAUGAACGCUAGCGGCAGGCUUAACACAUGCAAGUCGAGGGGCAGCAUGGAGACGGAGAUUCGUCAAAGUCUUGAUGGCGACCGGCGCAAGGGUGCGUAACGCGUGAGCAACUUGCCCGUUUCUGGGGAAUAACCGGUGGAAACGCCGACUAAUACCCCAUAGUAUUGACUUGGGCAUCCUUAGUCAAUUAAAGAACUUCGGAAACGGAUAGGCUCGCGUGACAUUAGCUAGAUGGCGGGGUAACGGCCCACCAUGGCGACGAUGUCUAGGGGUUCUGAGAGGAAGGUCCCCCACACUGGAACUGAGACACGGUCCAG